Molecule: ribosomal RNA, 164 nt
Filed under: Ixeridium dentatum f. amplifolium
Lineage: Eukaryota; Viridiplantae; Streptophyta; Magnoliopsida; Asterales; Asteraceae
Description: 5.8S ribosomal RNA
Rfam family: 5.8S ribosomal RNA
About the family: 5.8S ribosomal RNA (5.8S rRNA) is a component of the large subunit of the eukaryotic ribosome.
Source: RNAcentral
CAAACGACUCUCGGCAACGGAUAUCUCGGCUCACGCAUCGAUGAAGAACGUAGCAAAAUGCGAUACUUGGUGUGAAUUGCAGAAUCCCGUGAACCAUCGAGUUUUUGAACGCAAGUUGCGCCCGAAACCAUCCGGUUGAGGGCACGCCUGCUUGGGCGUCACGC